RNAcentral lists this ribosomal RNA (779 nucleotides) under uncultured Neocallimastigales. RNAcentral's name for it is "partial large subunit ribosomal RNA". It matches the Rfam family "Eukaryotic large subunit ribosomal RNA", at positions 24 to 614 of the family's 3401-position model. The record is from RNAcentral. Lineage: Eukaryota; Fungi; Neocallimastigomycota; Neocallimastigomycetes; Neocallimastigales.
UAUCUCUGUAGAGUCUGCAUAUCAAUAAGCGGAGGAAAAGAAACUAACAAGGAUUCCCUUAGUAACGGCGAGUGAAGCGGGAAGAGCUCAAAUUUGAAAUCUUCAAGGUUUUACCUUGACGAAUUGUAGUUUAUAAGAAGUGUUUUCUGUUGAAGUUUUCGGUAAAAGUUCUUUGGAAUAGGACAUCAUAGAGGGUGAGAAUCCCGUAUUUGACCAGUUACUUUCCAGCUGUGUGAUACACUUUCAAAGAGUCGGAUUGUUUGGGAAUGCAGUCCAAAAUGGGUGGUAAAUUUCAUCUAAAGCUAAAUAUUGGCGAGAGACCGAUAGCGAACAAGUACCGUGAGGGAAAGAUGAAAAGAACUUUGAAAAGAGAGUUAAACAGUACGUGAAAUUGUCAAAAGGGAAGCGUUUGACACCAGUGUUGUUUUCUCGAAAAUCAAUUUAAUGAGUUCUUGUUUUUAAGUUAUUGUGACUUUAUCAGCGCAUUUCUUAUUUUACUUGACUCAUUGAAUGCACUUUUCGUUUAACAAGUCAACAUCAAUUUCUUUGGUGGUAAAAAGUUUAAAGGAAGGUGGCUUGGACUUCGGUUCAAGUGUUUAUAGCCUUUUUUCUAUGCCAUCGGAGAGAUUGAGGUCUGCAGCGUAGAUCCUUCGGGGUUAGAUACCUUUGUGCUAAGUUAUAGUUUUUUAUAGACAACUUGUUGACUAUAAUUAACCCUGUAAUUUACUCGCUUAGGCUAUUUUACCUACGCUUAGGAUGUUGAGUCAUCACACAUCUCU